AUUGAACGCUGGCGGCACGCCUAACACAUGCAAGUCGAGCGGCAGCGAGAGUAGUAGCAAUACUACUUGUCGGCGAGCGGCGGACGGGUGAGGAACACGUAGGAAUCUACCCAGAAGAGGGGGAUAACCAAGGGAAACUUUGGCUAAUACCGCAUAAUCUCGAGAGAGGAAAAGCUGCCCGCAAGGGUGGCGCUUUUGGAGGAGCCUGCGUCCGAUUAGCUAGUUGGUAGGGUAAAGGCCUACCAAGGGGAUGAUCGGUAACUGGUCUGAGGGGACGACCAGUAACCCGGGGACUGAGACACGGCCAGACUCGUACGGGAGGCAGCAGUGGGGAAUAUUGGACAAUGGGGGCAACCCUGAUCCAGCGAUGCCGCGUGAGUGAAGAAGGCCUUCGGGUCGUAAAGCUCUUUAGGUUGGGAAGAAGGGUGCGAGGGUAAUAUCCUUGUACUUUGACGGUACCAACAGAAUAAGCACCGGCAAACUCUGUGCCAGCCGCCGCCGUAA
Molecule: ribosomal RNA, 504 nt
Filed under: uncultured bacterium
Lineage: Bacteria
Description: partial 16S ribosomal RNA
Rfam family: Bacterial small subunit ribosomal RNA
Source: RNAcentral